AACAGGGAUUGCCUCAGUAGCGGCGAGUGAAGCGGCAAAAGCUCAAAUUUGAAAUCUGGCGUCUUUGGCGUCCGAGUUGUAAUUUGAAGAAGGUAUCUUUGGGCCCGGCUCUUGUCUAUGUUCCUUGGAACAGGACGUCACAGAGGGUGAGAAUCCCGUGCGAUGAGAUGACCCGGGUCUGUGUAAAGUUCCUUCGACGAGUCGAGUUGUUUGGGAAUGCAGCUCUAAGUGGGUGGUAAAUUCCAUCUAAAGCUAAAUAUUGGCGAGAGACCGAUAGCGAACAAGUACAGUGAUGGAAAGAUGAAAAGAACUUUGAAAAGAGAGUGAAAAAGUACGUGAAAUUGUUGAAAGGGAAGGGCUUGAGAUCAGACUUGGUAUUUUGCAUGUUGCUCUCUCGGGGGCGGCCGCUGCGGUUUACCGGGCCAGCAUCGGUUUGGAGCGGCAGGAUAAUGGCGGAGGAAUGUGGCACGGCUUCUGCUGUGUGUUAUAGCCUCUGACGAUACUGCCAGCCUAGACCGAGGACUGCGGUUUUUACCUAGGAUGUUGGCAUAAUGAUCUUAAGUCGCCCGUCUUGAAACACGGACCAAGGAGUCUAACGUCUAUGCGAGUGUUUGGGUGUAAAACCCGUACGCGUAAUGAAAGUGAACGAAGGUGGGGGCCCAUUAGGGUGCACCAUCGACCGAUCCUGAUGUGUUCGGAUGGAUUUGAGUAAGAGCAUAGCUGUUGGGACCCGAAAGAUGGUGAACUAUGCCUGAAUAGGGUGAAGCCAGAGGAAACUCUGGUGGAGGCUCGUAGCGGUUCUGACGUGCAAAUCGAUCGUCGAAUUUGGGUAUAGG
RNAcentral lists this ribosomal RNA (836 nucleotides) under Candida albicans. RNAcentral describes it as "LSU rRNA". It matches the Rfam family "Eukaryotic large subunit ribosomal RNA", at positions 67 to 921 of the family's 3401-position model. The record is from RNAcentral. Lineage: Eukaryota; Fungi; Ascomycota; Pichiomycetes; Serinales; Debaryomycetaceae.